GAUGAUGAAGAAGAAGUAGUAGUAGUACUAGUAGUAGUAGUAGGAGUAGAAGAAGAAGAAGAAGACUAGAAGAAGAAGAAGAAGAAGCAUAAGAAGACUAGAAGAAAAAGAAGAAGAUGAUGAAGAAGAAGAAGUAGUAGUAGUUGUAGUAGUAGUAGUAGUAGUAGUAGUAGUAGUAGUAGUAGUAGUAGUAGUAGUAGUAGUAGUAGUAGUAGAAGUAGUGGUGGUGGUGGUGGUGGUGGUAGUAGUAGUAGAAGAAGAACAAGAAUAA
RNAcentral lists this long non-coding RNA (271 nucleotides) under Hordeum vulgare. Its description in RNAcentral is "long non-coding RNA (HVUL_LNC018269)". Lineage: Eukaryota; Viridiplantae; Streptophyta; Magnoliopsida; Poales; Poaceae. The record is from RNAcentral.